UUACCAACUUGGGCUAUUUGGCAGUGAUUAAGACCACACUCCACAGUGGGCUAUACCACUUAGUGUGGUUCAUUACUAUCUUGUGACCUACACU
This 94-nucleotide small nucleolar RNA is filed under the name Nannospalax galili (Upper Galilee mountains blind mole rat). RNAcentral's name for it is "Small nucleolar RNA SNORA4 (ENSNGAG00000001990.1)". It matches the Rfam family "Small nucleolar RNA SNORA4", at positions 46 to 141 of the family's 141-position model. From Rfam's summary of the family: ACA4 is a member of the H/ACA class of snoRNA that guide the sites of modification of uridines to pseudouridines. The record is from RNAcentral. Lineage: Eukaryota; Metazoa; Chordata; Mammalia; Rodentia; Spalacidae.